GAACCUUUACUAUAGCUUGACACUGAACAUUGAGCCUUGAUGUGUAGGAUAGGUGGGAGGCUUUGAAGUGUGGACGCCAGUCUGCAUGGAGCCGGCCUUGAAAUACCACCCUUUAAUGUUUGAUGUUCUAACGUUGGCCCCUGAUCGGGGUUGCGGACAGUGUCUGGUGGGUAGUUUGACUGGGGCGGUCUCCUCCUAAAGAGUAACGGAGGAGCACGAAGGUUGGCUAAUCCUGGUCGGACAUCAGGAGGUUAGUGCAAUGGCAUAAGCCAGCUUGACUGCGAGCGUGACGGCGCGAGCAGGUGCGAAAGCAGGUCAUAGUGAUCCGGUGGUUCUGAAUGGAAGGGCCAUCGCUCAACGGAUAAAAGGUACUCCGGGGAUAACAGGCUGAUACCGCCCAAGAGUUCAUAUCGACGGCGGUGUUUGGCACCUCGAUGUCGGCUCAUCACAUCCUGGGGCUGAAGUAGGUCCCAAGGGUAUGGCUGUUCGCCAUUUAAAGUGGUACGCGAGCUGGGUUUAGAACGUCGUGAGACAGUUCGGUCCCUAUCUGCCGUGGGCGCUGGAGAACUGAGGGGGGCUGCUCCUAGUACGAGAGGACCGGAGUGGACGCAUCACUGGUGUUCGGGUUGUCAUGCCAAUGGCACUGCCCGGUAGCUAAAUGCGGAAGAGAUAAGUGCUGAAAGCAUCUAAGCACGAAACUUGCCCCGAGAUGAGUUCUCCCUGAGACUUUAAGUCUCCUGAAGGAACGUUGAAGACGACGACGUUGAUAGGCCGGGUGUGUAAGCGCAGCGAUGCGUUGAGCUAACCGGUACUAAUGAACCGUGAGG
This 827-nucleotide ribosomal RNA is filed under the name Escherichia coli. RNAcentral's name for it is "partial 23S ribosomal RNA". It matches the Rfam family "Bacterial large subunit ribosomal RNA", at positions 2095 to 2916 of the family's 2925-position model. The record is from RNAcentral. Lineage: Bacteria; Pseudomonadati; Pseudomonadota; Gammaproteobacteria; Enterobacterales; Enterobacteriaceae.